GAUGAACGCUGGCGGCGUGCUUAACACAUGCAAGUCGAGCGAGAAAGUAAUGACUGAUUCUUCGGAUGAAGGAUUUACUGGAAAGCGGCGGACGGGUGAGUAACGCGUAGGUAACCUACCUUACACAAAGGGAUAGCCACUGGAAACGGUGAUUAAUACCAUAUGACGCCUUUAGGUCGCAUGAUCUUAAGGUUAAAGUGUUAGCGGUGUAAGAUGGACCUGCGUCUGAUUAGCUAGUUGGUGAGGUAAUGGCUCACCAAGGCGACGAUCAGUAGCCGGCCUGAGAGGGUGAACGGCCACACUGGAACUGAGACACGGUCCAGACUCCUACGGGAGGCAGCAGUGGGGAAUAUUGCACAAUGGGCGAAAGCCUGAUGCAGCAACGCCGUGUGAGCGAUGAAGGCCUUCGGGUCGUAAAGCUCUGUCUUGAAGGAAGAAAAAAAUGACGGUACUUCGAGAGGAAGCCCCGGCUAACUACG
Molecule: ribosomal RNA, 479 nt
Filed under: uncultured Eubacteriales bacterium
Lineage: Bacteria; Bacillati; Bacillota; Clostridia; Eubacteriales
Description: bacterial SSU rRNA
Rfam family: Bacterial small subunit ribosomal RNA
Source: RNAcentral